CGGGGUGAUUCUGGUGGAAUGAGCGGCGGACGGGUGAGUAACACGUGGGCAACCUGCCUGUAAGACUGGGAUAACUUCGGGAAACCGGAGCUAAUACCGGAUAGUAUUUCCUUUCUCCUGAUUGGAAAUGGAAAGACGGUUUCGGCUGUCACUUACAGAUGGGCCCGCGGUGCAUUAGCUAGUUGGUGGGGUAAUGGCCCACCAAGGCGACGAUGCAUAGCCGACCUGAGAGGGUGAUCGGCCACACUGGGACUGAGACACGGCCCAGACUCCUACGGGAGGCAGCAGUAGGGAAUCUUCCGCAAUGGACGAAAGUCUGACGGAGCAACGCCGCGUGAGCGAUGAAGGCCUUCGGGUCGUAAAGCUCUGUUGUUAGGGAAGAACAAGUACGAGAGUAACUGCUCGUACCUUGACGGUACCUAACCAGAAAGCCCCGGCUAACUACGUGCCAGCAGCCGCGGUAAUACGUAGGGGGCAAGCGUUGUCCGGAAUUAUUGGGCGUAAAGGGCUCGUAGGCGGUUUCUUAAGUCUGAUGUGAAAGCCCACAGCUCAACUGUGGAGGGUCAUUGGAAACUGGGGAACUUGAGUGCAGAAGAGGAGAGUGGAAUUCCACGUGUAGCGGUGAAAUGCGUAGAUAUGUGGAGGAACACCAGUGGCGAA
This 660-nucleotide ribosomal RNA is filed under the name Tardiphaga sp. Its description in RNAcentral is "bacterial SSU rRNA". It matches the Rfam family "Bacterial small subunit ribosomal RNA", at positions 74 to 719 of the family's 1533-position model. The record is from RNAcentral. Lineage: Bacteria; Pseudomonadati; Pseudomonadota; Alphaproteobacteria; Hyphomicrobiales; Nitrobacteraceae.